Molecule: long non-coding RNA, 634 nt
Organism: Equus caballus (horse)
Lineage: Eukaryota; Metazoa; Chordata; Mammalia; Perissodactyla; Equidae
Source: RefSeq, a predicted model, not a curated record
CUCGCCCGCCUCGCUCCUCCCCGCUCCUCCUCCCUGCACCCUGCCCAAUCGCCGCGCGCCGCCGCCGCUCCCUUUGUCUGGGCCGCGAGCGCGGGCCAAUGGGAUUGCGCGGAGAGGCGGGCGGCGCGCGUCUGGGCCAAUGGGCGGGCCGGGCGGGCCUCGUGGGUAGGCGCCGCGGCCCGGGUGUCCGUGCGUGGCCGGGCGGCGUCGGGCAGGCCCGCACCCGCGGGCAGGACUGAGGCUCGGGAGGCGGGAGACUCACCGUCCCCAGUCCCCCGCGUUUUCUCCCCGCUCUGACUCUGUCCUCCGCUGUCCGGAAACGCGCCCCGGAAGGCGGGGUUGGGGAAGACCCCCGCGUGGCGGCUGCGCAGCAGGACGGCAGCAGGACCCCGGAGGCCCAGAAGGGGAAACACAAAGCAGAUUGGCUUGCUUCUAGAUGACGACUUCUGUGGACUCUAGUCCUACACUUUUCUUCAAAGUAGCAGACACAAUCUUAAUUCCAUGAGGAGGAGGAGCCACAACAGGGGCAUGGGCUUUGGUGGUCCCCAGUGUCAGGAAGGGUGGCUUCCAAUUUUCCUUGGUUUCCAAACCUCGCCUCAAAAUGAAAUCACAAAUAAACCAAAAUAAAACUCAA